Long non-coding RNA from Hylaeus volcanicus, 1068 nucleotides. RefSeq lists it as uncharacterized. The transcript is spliced from 4 exons. Lineage: Eukaryota; Metazoa; Arthropoda; Insecta; Hymenoptera; Colletidae. The record is from RefSeq and is a predicted model, not a curated record.
UUCAGCCAGCGGUAAUCCCUUUUAGUCGUGGUAAUCAUCACGUCACAAAAUACGUUCACUUCCACUUAGCGCGAUCUUGCCAACGUCGAUGCACGUUCAAUGCCGGUUCCCGCGACAUUUGUUUCGACACACUGAUCAAGGAUCGAUAUACGCGAUUAGGUUAGACCACCACUUAGGAUAUUUUCGAGAACGACGCGAGAAAACGUUGAAAUUAACGAGCAUAAGCGCGACACGACGAUUCCGAUUUUCACGAAACACGAAAAGGAACGUUGGCGCGUGCUGCGCGCCACCGCGAAGCCACUCGACGAAGAUUUGCGAGCACGCACGAAGCCGGCCGACGAUUUCCGAACCAGCUGGCACAGUGUUGCAUCGCUAGCUACGCGAAGUUAGGUAGAGGAAAUGGCCGAAACAGGUUUAGUAUUCGCCGCAUUCACCCUUGAGCAGCUAUUAUCGAGCUUUGUUUGCUUCCAAAUGUACGAGCACGUCUUGAUUUCAGUACAAAACUUGCUAUCCACGAACGUAGGUGAACCGUAUCGACGCGACUCGAUUCACAUUGAUUCUUCAAAUUAAUUACCAGCUAUUAUCGACCUUUGCUUCCAAAUGUACGAGCACGGUCAGUGAUUGACUUCGGGCAGUGAUUGAAACUGAGUUCGAUGUCAACGAUCCCAACGCCAUGAUCAUCUCGAUAUCGAUUGCCGACGCCAUGAUUGUUGCUACGCUGUACUGAUCUUGUCGUUUUUCACACUCUGUUUCGUUUCCCGCAAAUAAAGUGAUCCUGGUGCAGAGCGAUCGAUGAACCGGGGACGUGGCUUGGGAGCGCUUCGUCAACGCUGAAAACCCGUCCCGGACCUGCCCUCAUCGCGCUGAUGCGAAAUCUGGUCCGACAACUUUGCCUUUCGAGGCAGGGAAACCGGAGAUGGCUAUCGAUCAUCGACGAUCGCCGAUGUCGCUGCAUCGACAACCGACGAGACAGGCCAAUUUUCGAGAAGCUAGAAAUAUAUUGUUCGGGUACUAGAUGGCUAUAAGUGUGUUUUUAUGUCCAUAAAUGGGAGCCUUUAUGUUUUUCCA